CCGUCGAUAGCUCAGUUGGUAGAGCGGUGGACUGUAGAGGUUUCCAAUGCGGGCAUCCAUAGGUCGCUGGUUCAAAUCCGGCUCGACGGA
This is a non-coding RNA of Ixodes scapularis (black-legged tick), 90 nucleotides long. NCBI's taxonomy places the organism in Eukaryota, Metazoa, Arthropoda, Arachnida, Ixodida, Ixodidae. The record is from Rfam.